UACGGAGGGUGCGAGCGUUGUCCGGAAUCACUGGGCGUAAAGGGCGCGUAGGUGGCUUUUCAAGCGCGCGGUGAAAGCCCGGGGCUCAACCCCGGGUCGGCCGUGCGGACUGGGAGGCUUGAGCACUGUAGGGGCGGGUGGAAUUCCGGGUGUAGCGGUGGAAUGCGUAGAUAUCUGGAGGAAUACCGGUGGCGAAGGCGGCAUCCUGGACCGGCAUUGACGCUGAGGAGCGAAAGCCAGGGGAGCAAACGGG
Molecule: ribosomal RNA, 253 nt
Filed under: uncultured bacterium
Lineage: Bacteria
Description: partial 16S ribosomal RNA
Rfam family: Bacterial small subunit ribosomal RNA
Source: RNAcentral